AUUGAACGCUGGCGGCAUGCUUUACACAUGCAAGUCGAACGGCAGCGCGGGCUUCGGCCUGGCGGCGAGUGGCGAACGGGUGAGUAAUGCAUCGGAACGUGCCCAGUAGUGGGGGAUAGCCCGGCGAAAGCCGGAUUAAUACCGCAUACGACCUGAGGGUGAAAGCGGGGGACCGAAAGGCCUCGCGCUAUUGGAGCGGCCGAUGUCGGAUUAGCUAGUUGGUGGGGCAAAGGCUUACCAAGGCGACGAUCCGUAGCUGGUCUGAGAGGACGACCAGCCACACUGGGACUGAGACACGGCCCAGACUCCUACGGGAGGCAGCAGUGGGGAAUUUUGGACAAUGGGGGCAACCCUGAUCCAGCCAUGCCGCGUUCGGGAAGAAGGCCUUCGGGUUGUAAACCGCUUUUGUUCGGGAAGAAAUCCUCUGGGCUAAUACCCCGGGGGGAUGACGGUACCGGAAGAAUAAGCACCGGCUAACUACGUG
This 484-nucleotide ribosomal RNA is filed under the name uncultured bacterium. RNAcentral describes it as "partial 16S ribosomal RNA". It matches the Rfam family "Bacterial small subunit ribosomal RNA", at positions 28 to 507 of the family's 1533-position model. The record is from RNAcentral.